CGUUGAGAAGCUAUGAAACAGCACUAGCCUUUUAAGCUAGAGAAAGAGGGAUCUGCCCCCUCCCCAACGG
This 70-nucleotide transfer RNA is filed under the name Fulvetta cinereiceps (streak-throated fulvetta). RNAcentral's name for it is "tRNA-Lys". It matches the Rfam family "tRNA". Rfam says of the family: Transfer RNA (tRNA) molecules are approximately 80 nucleotides in length. Lineage: Eukaryota; Metazoa; Chordata; Aves; Passeriformes; Sylviidae. The record is from RNAcentral.